Molecule: unclassified non-coding RNA, 4348 nt
Filed under: Hevea brasiliensis (rubber tree)
Lineage: Eukaryota; Viridiplantae; Streptophyta; Magnoliopsida; Malpighiales; Euphorbiaceae
Source: RNAcentral
UGGAGCUGAACCAAGCAAUACAACCUGUCCAUUGCGAUCUAAGGUUCGCCAAAUUGCAUGCUUUAUGAGAUGGAUUCCUUUCUGAUGUGUUAGGCGAGUGAUAAUCCCUACUAAAGGGAGAUCAGCUUUCUUUAAACCAAGCCUUUGCUGCAACGCCUCCUUGGCUGCUCUUUUGCCUUCAACAACAUUCUCAGAUGUGUAGGAAACAGGAAUGAACUUGUCAUUAUAAGGAUCCCAUAUGUCUGGAUCAAUUCCAUUCAGUAUUCCAUGGAAUUUGUAGAGAUAAGGAGCAAUUGGAGGAUUUCCAGCAACCUCCUUUGAAUAUGUGGGGGACACAGUUGUAGACUUGUCAGAAUAUGCCAUAGCUUUCCCAAUGUUUCCUGCCCCCAAAUUCAAGCUUGUGAAAUGAAACGUGAAGUCAGAAUAUGCCAUAGCCUUCCUAAUGUUUCCUGCCCCAAAUUCAAGCUUGUGAAACGUGAAGUCAUGAAGACAACCUGAACUUUACUAAGACCAUAGUGCAUAUAAUGGUCCUUGAACAACCAUGCAACUUCAGCUCUAGACCAAUCAUGACAAUGGAUAAUAUCAGGAUGGAAUCCAUUUUGUAGUAAAAACUCAAGAGCUGCAUGACAAAAGAAACCAAACCGCUCCCCAUCAUUCCGGCAGCUGUAUAUGCAACCAGUCGAAAACAUCCCAUUCAGAGGCUCCAAAAAGUAGACAGAAAGGCCUUCCACCUUCCCAAACCAUAAUUUUAUUUCUGUCCCACCCCAGGAAUAGCUUUUCUGAUAAUGAAAGUCCUUUGCCUAUUUCAGGACAUGCACAUCUGAUGAAUUAGAAUUCAUUAAAAAUUCGGAUCACAAAAAAACAGAAAGCAUUGUGGUUAAUUACUCAAUAAAUCUACUUCAUUUUUCUCAAUGAUAUGCCACAAUCAAUGGUAGGCCUACGUACCUAUUCAAUUACAUAAUUAAUGGUUAUUACUACAGAACAAGUGACAUACUAGAAAUAACAAAAAAAGCACAUGCUUAGAAACAGACAUACUUUGGCAGCCGCACAUGCAGAAAAGUGUCACAUGAUGAAAAGGAGGCAUUUUAAAAGAAAAUUUUUUCCUGCAUAGGAUUAAGAAUUAUCAUAGUUUUCGAUUAAAUAUUGAAUAACAAUUUGUAUAUUAAUAAUCUCCAUGAGAUGGGCCCUCAAGGGAGACAUUUAAAUGGUCACAUAUAGGUCUUACAAUUUCUUCCAUCUGCACUUCCAACAGGAGAGAGAGAAAGUUAAAAUUUCUACAGUAAAGUAGCAACAAUGAAGCUUACAUGGCUAAGGUUCAAACAGUCAUACUUUGGAAGAAUGAUAUCCACACUGUGAUUUAAAUCUUGUACAGCACGGAAGAGACUAGUAACAACAUCACUGAGCCCUCCAACCUUUGCAACUGGGGCCAUUUCAACAGCAACAUGCACAAUGCGCAUUGGGGGCUCCUUCACAACUCCUCCAAACACAGGUAUGUGGCAAUCCAUGCCAUCUCUAUUGUAAAAAAUUCCACCAUCUUCCCUCUCCGAGAAUACAAAAUCCAUCAUGUAUGCAUCUAAUGGUACCUUGACUGGGAAAAAUACCAUAAAUUGAAAGAUUUUUUAAAAAUAUUUGUCCUGAAGUACAUCUAUAAAUUCAUAUAUCAAAAUUUGACUCAUCUGACAAGACAGGGAAAAAAAAGAGAGAGAGAGGGAAGGUGGCAUAUCACAGAUAAGAUAAUCCUCUCAUGAUCAUUGCGAAGAAGGGGCCUUGUGCACUGCAGACACUAUUUUUUGAUAGAACAUAAAUGCAAAUUGAUUUUACCUAUAUGAUUUAGCAUCACAUUGUACACCUAACAAACUUGCCAACAGAUGAUUGAUCGACCUUCCUAAGGAGCAACAAACUAAAAGCCUAAAACAACAAGUGGAUAAAGGAUAUCUCAUCUGCAUGUUGGUUAUGAAUGAAAUAAAUUUGAAAUAAUGUAAUCUAUGAACAAUAUAAUAAUACUUGGUGUCGAUAUGGUGUCGAUAUCAAGAAAAAAGUCCACUUUGAGACAUCAAAAAACCACCUAACUUUUGAAGUUCACACAAAUCAGGAAAAUAAGAUAAGAGAAUGACUACCAUAGAAGUUAAACCUGAAUAGAGUACCUUGUAAGGAAAAAAAAGGGGAGAGAGAGACCACCAUAAAUAAUUACAUAUAAAAACAAGCAAUAAUAACACCACGCUAAUCAAAAUAAAGACAUUGUUAUGCUAUAAAUUUGCCAAGGUAAAAAAUAACUAGAAUUAAAACUUGCCAGUGGAUUUGAUAUGAGAAGCAUUAUCUGGAGGCAACAUCUUCUGAGGUGGCAAAGGACCGUUGUGGUGGGUCCAACGGUUAAAUGAACAUCUGAUCCAAACUUCUGAUUUACCAUUCAGAACAGUGUUAGCAGGAUUAUAGAAAACUGUCACAGCACUUCCAGCCUGAACAUCAAGAGGAUCAAUAUAGACUACUUGCUUUUGAGACAACAGAAACCUUUUCAAAGUUCUCUCCUUUCUUUCAGCUUUCAUACGUGCUGUUCUUUCCACCUUGGCACAUAUAGCCUCCUCUCUUAACGGCCGCUCCUCCUGUAGUUUCCUAUAUAUCUGGUGUUCUUCCUCAACCCAAAACAAUUCUUCAGGAAUGGACUUUGGGACAAUUGCAUGGAAAUCUUGGUAAUGAUUGUUAUCAUAUACAAUUGCACUCUGAGGUGGACCAUCAGCAAAGACCCAAUCCAAAACAAGGGCUCGAUCCGGUACAACAACAUUACCAUACCACCAGUCACCAUCCUUUCUCUCAGAUUUAGCAAGCUUUUCCGCAAUGACCAAUCCAUCAUUCCAAUUAUUAUAUCCCCCAUGAAUCCAAAGGUCAUUAGCAUGAGCGAGAGGACCUGAGCUUUUGUUAUAAUAUAGCCGGACCAAGUCAUCACCGCUAAACUCACUAGGCUCAAUAUACCAAACAUUAUCAACAGAUCUUGCAACAUUUUUCAUCAACUGGUGCAAUAUUUCUCGCCUCUUUUCAGUUUCCACCUUUGCCUGGGCUUUAUCAGCUUCGCUUGCAGCCUUCUCUUCUUCUCUUUGCCUCUUCUCUUUUGCUUCUCUUUCUCUCUCAACUUGCUCCCUUGAAACUUUCUCUAGCUCCCUAAGUUUUUCCUCAAGCAAGAAAUCAUCAAAUGCAAAUGCAUCCAUUCCACCUUCUACAGGUAUUCAGAAAUCCCUUUUUUCAUUAUUGUCAUAUGCAUUUUUCCCAUUAAAGAACACAAAAUCUAUCGUUUAUGCUUCUUUUGGAACAUGAACCUGGCAAGACCACCAAUCCCCUUUCUAAUGAGUUAUGUUUAACCUUAUGGUAAAAGAUUUCCAUUUCCGGUCAUUGAAGGCUCCCAUAAUGAAAACAUCUGGCUCAUUAUUCAGAGUGGAUAGACUCCUAUUAAGGUAUAGUUCUAUAUCUUGAUAAGAUUUCACCAACUCGGGAUAAACAAACAAUUUGCUACCCCUUGAGAAGUUAUCCUCAGCAAGCCCCUCAAUUUCUCGUUUCCGCAAGUUUUCUUCCAUUUCCAACCUUAAUUUUUGAGAAGAAUCUUCAGUUGAUUUUUCAUCAGUCCCAGCACUUUCCCCUUUUACAGUGAUAUCAUUCUUUGAGCUGCCAAACUGCCUUUCCGCUAUAGUAAUUUCAUCAACUGGCCCAGUCAUAUCCUCAACACUACUAACAGUUCCAUUUUCCAUACCUUGAUUGCUUUUGGCAACUGACACCUUUUUGCUAAUUGAUGAUGCUUCUUCUGUUAGCUUUUCUUUUUUAACUUUCUUAUCCUUGGUAAGUUCAAUUGAUUGUUCUUUAUCUAUAUCAGCUUUAAUUUCAAGUGUUUGCUUGUUGGGAUCCACAAUCUCACUAGAUGCUGAAGUAUUGUUCUUAGAAUCCCUCUUUUGGAGGCCUGCUCUUGCUGACGUUUUUGGUUUGAAUCCUUUUGGAGUAGGCCCUCCAGACUUUGCAGUUGAAAUUUUCCUAUUUCUCCUCUUGGAAAAGUCUGCACCAGCAAUAACGUCAAAUGAAACCCCACGUUUUGGGUACCUGUUGCCACAUGAAGUAAGACUGGUAAAAUGGCUGGUUUUAACAUGAGGGAAAGACCCAAGAAACGCCUUGAUCUUGAAAAGGGUUCUCUCGUGAAAGACAGCUCUGCAACUGAGUGGUCUAUGCACCUGGAACUGCAAACCCACUUCCAUGGUUGACAGGAUUAUACUACUAACUCAGUAUCGUAAAAAGUCAGGAAUGUUUGCCGCCAAGAACAAGCUUUCACUUCAAAGAUGAGCUUCACUCACCAUUGAGGAUCGAUGUCUCUCUG